UACGGGGGAGCAAGCGUUGUUCGGAUUACUGGCGUAAAGGGCGCGUAGGCGGUCAGCACAAGUCAGUUGUGAAAUCUCCGGGCUUAACUCGGAAAGGUCAACUGAUACUGUGCGACUAGAGUGCAGAAGGGGCAACUGGAAUUCUCGGUGUAGCGGUGAAAUGCGUAGAUAUCGAGAGGAACACCUGCGGCGAAGGCGGGUUGCUGGGCUGACACUGACGCUGAUGCGCGAAAGCCAGGGAGCGAACGGG
RNAcentral lists this ribosomal RNA (250 nucleotides) under uncultured bacterium. RNAcentral's name for it is "partial 16S ribosomal RNA". It matches the Rfam family "Bacterial small subunit ribosomal RNA", at positions 524 to 776 of the family's 1533-position model. The record is from RNAcentral.